UUUUGAGGGAGCAGCUCGGAUGGUGGCGUAACCUCGCAGGCCCUGGGCAGGGGCUCCGGGGAAUUCCUGGCCAAAAGACAAGGUUUCACUCUUGUUGCCCAGGCUGGAGUGCAAUGGUGUGAUCUAGGCUCACUGCAACCUCCACCUCCCGGGUUCAAGUGAUUCUCCUGUCUCAGGCUCCCAAGUAGGUGGGAUUACAGUACUUUAAUCAGCAUUUAAUGACCCAGUCGAAAAUUCAUUGUUUGGACCCAAGCACUGGUGGGAAAGGCAGGAGGGGAGGCCUGCCUUCCUUCCUCCCUCCCGAGCCCUACAGCAGGCCAUGGAGUGGUGAGCGAGUUCGUACAGUGCCAACCACAUUCCCAGAAACUUCCAGCAGAGGUUAAUCCUGCUCCUCUCAGGUGGGCUUGGCCCAUUCUCUAGACUUUGGAAGGUAAUGUUCUAUAGAGGCCUGUUCUGAAGCUUUACCAGGUCAAACCGGAGAAGAACCCAACAAGUAACUCAUCCCAGCCUAACUAUUCUUCAAGGGCAAUCAACCUACAGCAUCCAAGCACAGAGAAAUCAAAUCCAUGGAGAAUCUUCAAAUUAGGCUCAGAAUCCAUUUGGGUCAAUGAAUUUACUGUUAUUAAGAUCUUAGUUGUGUUCAACCAUGAUUUGACAUACCUUAGAGUGAGAAGAUAUUCUUCCUGGCCUCAGACUAGUUGAAGGUAGAGAGAGAGACAGGCCCUUGGGUGUGGGGAGACCUCUCCUGGGAUAAUACACACAAAAAACCAAGAGCUGCUCACUGUGGUGCAGGAGACAGCAGGGCCUGAAGCCAGAGGCUCUGUGUCCUUGAAUACAAUGUUUUACUCCUCUGACCCCUGUUACUGUGAUUUGGAGAGGCAGACAAUAUAGGAUGGGCUUUGCAGGCAGGGAGGUCCAGUUAUAAUCCCAGCUCUUACUAAGUUGGGUAAGACUCACUCUGAGACUUAGUUUCUUCUGUCAUCUCUCAAUAGAAUCAUAAAGGUACUUUCCUCUUAGUGUUGUUUUAAAAUUCAGUAAAAUAAUGCAGGCUUAGCACAGGGUCUGAUGUAAAUUUUCAAUGAAUUAUCGUUGUCAAUAUUGUUCUGGAAAACAAGAGGGCAUAUUAGAAGAUCAAAAGUACUGCCAAGCAUUGAAGUGCCAAUUCUAGAUCCAGUCUCAGCCCUCUGAGAAUGGAUAUCAUUGUUUUCAAGCCAUUCAGAAACCAAUGUGAAUUGAACACCUAGUAUGAGCUCUCUGAGGGAAGAGCCAAGUCAUGCAUUUUUUAUCUUAAGGGGUCUUCAAUACCUCUAGCCCAAAACAGUAUCUCCAUCAGGAUUCUUCUCUGAUAGUGUUCAUUUCUUUUUUCUCAAUGGAUGCCUUAAAAAAAAAAUCCUACAAGGAAACCUGUACUCCUCAAAUACACCACUCAGGUGACCAUUAAAUCAUUUACAUUGUUAAUUUCUUUUCAGAUGUGUGUCUUUUUCCCUAGUUACAUCAUCAGGACCUUGAAGGUAGGGACAGGUCUUAGAUUUCUUGAUGCCCCCAUAAAUCUAGGUACAGAGUAGGUCUCUGGACAUCAG
RNAcentral lists this long non-coding RNA (1580 nucleotides) under Homo sapiens (human). RNAcentral describes it as "HSALNT0358527". The record is from RNAcentral. Lineage: Eukaryota; Metazoa; Chordata; Mammalia; Primates; Hominidae.